This 546-nucleotide ribosomal RNA is filed under the name uncultured eukaryote. Its description in RNAcentral is "SSU rRNA". It matches the Rfam family "Eukaryotic small subunit ribosomal RNA", at positions 626 to 1168 of the family's 1831-position model. The record is from RNAcentral.
GCUCGUAGUUGGAUUUCUGGUCGGAGCGAUCGGUCCGCCUCAUUCGGGGUGUGUACUUUGUGUCGCUCCAGCCAUCCUUGAGGCGAGCUGUCCUGGCAUUGAGUUGUUGGGGCAGGAACCUCAUCUUUUACUGUAGAAAAAAUUAGAGUGUUUAAAGCAGGCUUACGCCGUUGAAUACAUUAGCAUGGAAUAAUAAGAUAGGACUUUGGUGGUCUAUUUUGUUGGUUUGCACACCGAAGUAAUGAUUAAGAGGGACAGUUGGGGGUAUUCGUAUUUAAUUGUCAGAGGUGAAAUUCUUGGAUUUCUGAAAGACGAACUACUGCGAAAGCAUUUACCAAGGAUGUUUUCAUUAAUCAAGAACGAAAGUUAGGGGAUCGAAGAUGAUUAGAUACCAUCGUAGUCUUAACCAUAAACUAUGCCGACUCGGGAUUGGCGGGCGUUAACUUUAUGACUCCGUCAGCACCGUAUGAGAAAUCAAAGUCUUUGGGUUCCGGGGGGGAGUAUGGUCGCAAGGCUGAAACUUAAAGGAAUUGACGGAAGGGCACC